Molecule: long non-coding RNA, 558 nt
Organism: Mandrillus leucophaeus (drill)
Lineage: Eukaryota; Metazoa; Chordata; Mammalia; Primates; Cercopithecidae
Exons: 2
Source: RefSeq, a predicted model, not a curated record
CACUUGAUUGCAGAGGAGGUCUACAGGGCAGUGGUUAGAACUUGGCCCUGAGGACAGAGCUUUCGCUCAGUACGAGGCUGGCAGGUAGGCCAGGCUGGCAGGUAGGCCUUCUCAGUUUCCUCCUCAGGAAUCUGGAAUGAUGAAGUUGGUGAUGAUUGUGCCUGUAGCCAGGACCGGGAGAACCCUGGACCCCUACAUCUUCCCCACCCCUGGAAUGUCACUAUACAUAUCUGACUUCCUUCUGAUGUUGCCUUUGACCCUAAAGUCAAUAUGAUAAAGUAACAAGAAGCUGGGACAGAAGAACAAACACAGCCCACUCAAGUAGUGGUGGCAACAUUCUGUUAGAAAGGAGGGGACUCAAAGAAAAAAAAGGCACCUCCCCCCACGUCCUUGAUCACCUCCCUAAAGACAGAGAACAUGGACACCCUCCAUCCUGGCAGACAUGCUGUGUGGUUAGUUUGUGCGGUAAACAGGAAAAAAAAAAAAAAAAAAAAAAAACCUAAAGAUAUUGUAGACCUUUAUUUUUUAAAUCUCCUAAUAAAAACGUUAAACUUUCAA